UGGACCAAUGAUAAGAAUAUACUAUUAACCAAGAAAUACGACUAAUCUAAUUCUGUACACAGGAGGGUCAAAG
This 73-nucleotide small nucleolar RNA is filed under the name Mustela putorius furo (domestic ferret). RNAcentral describes it as "Small nucleolar RNA SNORD112 (ENSMPUG00000023633.1)". The record is from RNAcentral. Lineage: Eukaryota; Metazoa; Chordata; Mammalia; Carnivora; Mustelidae.